This 281-nucleotide long non-coding RNA is filed under the name Vigna radiata. RNAcentral describes it as "long non-coding RNA (VRAD_LNC015219)". Lineage: Eukaryota; Viridiplantae; Streptophyta; Magnoliopsida; Fabales; Fabaceae. The record is from RNAcentral.
GCUAUCAACUAUUGUCAGCCGGCGGAGCUUCGUCUUCCUCCCCGGGGAUUUCCGAAAGGGGGACCAUCUUCCCCUUAUGAACAUCCAUCCCUAAGUCCCAAUCCACAGAAGUCGGGUCAAAGUUGAAAAAAUAGGCGGCCUGGCGGAUGGCUUUGAAAAAGCCUUCUUCAUGUUCCAGUUGGAUAUCCUGGUUUAGACGCGUGAUAGUAUCCGCCACUUGUUGUUGUUCCCCUUGCAGGCGGAUGUUCUCAGCAUGAAGUUCAACCAGUUCUUCAUCCCGG